AGGACGAACGCUGGCGGCGUGCUUAACACAUGCAAGUCGAACGAUGAUGCCCAGCUUGCUGGGUGGAUUAGUGGCGAACGGGUGAGUAACACGUGAGUAACCUGCCCUUAACUCUGGGAUAAGCCUGGGAAACUGGGUCUAAUACUGGAUAUGACUUUUCAUCGCAUGGUGAUU
Molecule: ribosomal RNA, 174 nt
Filed under: uncultured soil bacterium
Lineage: Bacteria
Description: partial 16S ribosomal RNA
Rfam family: Bacterial small subunit ribosomal RNA
Source: RNAcentral